Molecule: non-coding RNA, 303 nt
Organism: Vicia faba (fava bean)
Lineage: Eukaryota; Viridiplantae; Streptophyta; Magnoliopsida; Fabales; Fabaceae
Source: the annotation of a GenBank genome assembly
AUGCUGCAAUCGGUUGCAAUCAGCGCAACCGCGGGACCCGUACCACCACCUCCGCGCUCAGUCCUCCUUAACGACCACCGCCGUAGUUCUUCACUGAUCCACACGAGUCUGCCUCCGAUAGGUCGCCGACAACCGCCAGACCAUGAAAUCUACAUCUUCCCUCUCCGACGAAGCCUUUCCUCUUCUACCUCUCCGUGCUACCAUCAGGGCCUAACAGGUGGAUGGGUUAGGAGCUUCCUCCUGAAUAUGAGCUUCUUGUUUUGCUUGGGCAGCUGUAAUGAGGUUUUUUGGCCAGACCUGUGA